Molecule: unclassified non-coding RNA, 200 nt
Filed under: Pholiotina sp.
Lineage: Eukaryota; Fungi; Basidiomycota; Agaricomycetes; Agaricales; Bolbitiaceae
Description: partial internal transcribed spacer 2
Source: RNAcentral
UUAAGUUCAGCGGGUAGUCCUACCUGAUUUGAGGUCAAAUGGUCAAAGAGUUGUCCCAAGGGACGAUUAGAAGCGGAGGUCGCCCAUGACUAGGUUGCUUCACCGAGACGGGGCAUUGAUAGUUAUCACGCCAUGCGUCCAGUUAUGCAAAGAGCUUUUACCGGCUAAUGCUUUUGAGGAGAGUCGACCACAAGGGCCGA